AAACGUAGGAGGCGAGCGUUAUCCGGAUUUACUGGGUGUAAAGCGCGUGCAGGCGGUUCUGCAAGUGGGACGUGAAAGCGCCCGGCUCAACCGGGCGAGGACGUACCGAACUGCGGGACUAGAGGCAGGGAGAGGCGUGUGGAAUUCCGGGUGUAGUGGUGAAAUGCGUAGAGAUCCGGAGGAACACCAGUGGCGAAGGCGACACGCUGGGCCUGGCCUGACGCUCAGACGCGAAAGCAUGGGGAGCGAACGGGAUUAGAAACCCCGGUAGUCCAUGCCGUAAACGAUGCUGACUAGGUGUGGCGGGUAUGAACUCCUGCCGUGCCGGAGCCAACGUGGUAAGUCAGCCACCUGGGGACUACGGCCGCAAGGUUAAA
Molecule: ribosomal RNA, 377 nt
Filed under: uncultured bacterium
Lineage: Bacteria
Description: bacterial SSU rRNA
Rfam family: Bacterial small subunit ribosomal RNA
Source: RNAcentral